CCUUUGAUGUUCUUACCAGCAUCUUAUUUUAAUAUACUUUUUCUUUAUCGUUAGCCAGCAAAUGCAGAACAGCUAAAACACAAUGUUAAAGACUCAGCAGUGCAUAUCUGAUUGAAUAACCAAUAAACAAAAUACAGUGUUUCAUUUUCCCUGAAACUGCUGCCCUCAUUUCUCCAAAGACAGAUCAUGGAGGCAAAAAGUAGGUCUGAUCCUGAGAAUUUUAUUGCUUAAUUUCUUUUUCCUGAAUUUCUCUAUUGCCCUGUAUAUUCCUGUCAUAUUCUCUUCCAGAAGUUGCUCAAAAAGUUUGGGUGAGUCUGACGAACAAAUUGUCAAAGCCACCUACUCUACGUAUUUUAUAAACCCGGAACUGAUUUGAAAUGAAGGAAAACAUAAGAAGCUUAUUAAUGAAUUAUCUUAUGCAGUCCAUAAACAGAAGACACCAGACCUCUGUCUUUUGGCAUCUCACAUGUAGACUAAGAAUUGUGCGUAGACUCUGGCUAUACUAAGUGAGAAGCUGAAAUCCUAAAAUGUUCAUCUUCCAACUUUUUCCAGUCUGUGGUCUGUCUUGGGAUCAGCAGUAAUUGCCUGGACAGCUAUAAUGGCUUCAUUAAUUUUUGUUUGUGUUCUGUGUUCUUCAUGCAAUGAUAGAAGAAAUGCAUCUCCUGGGUCAAAGUCUAAAUGUUCUUUUCUAAACUGAUCAACUGCAUCUGAUAUAAACACUCCGAAUGUAAAAAGCAAAUUGCAUUAGGGAUUUCCGCAUAAUCAUCAGGGCAACAAAACUGAUGUUUAGCCAAAACCAUUAUACCAGCUUCAAAAUCAGGAAUAUUUACAUUUAAAUUUGUUUUUUAAGCUGCAUUGUCAACAUUUUUUUUGUAUUCUCGUGUGCCAAAAAUUUGUAUUUUUCAGUACUGUGUCCGUAUUCACAAUUUACAGCUAAUCCAGAGAGCCAGUCAGUUGUGUUUUUAUUGAUUUGUAGUCUCAAAGGAAAAGCUAACAUCUUG
Molecule: long non-coding RNA, 1001 nt
Filed under: Zalophus californianus (California sea lion)
Lineage: Eukaryota; Metazoa; Chordata; Mammalia; Carnivora; Otariidae
Description: lncRNA (ENSZCAG00015003336.1)
Source: RNAcentral